This 497-nucleotide ribosomal RNA is filed under the name Pantoea sp. Its description in RNAcentral is "bacterial SSU rRNA". It matches the Rfam family "Bacterial small subunit ribosomal RNA", at positions 9 to 497 of the family's 1533-position model. Lineage: Bacteria; Pseudomonadati; Pseudomonadota; Gammaproteobacteria; Enterobacterales; Erwiniaceae. The record is from RNAcentral.
GAGUUUGAUCCUGGCUCAGAUUGAACGCUGGCGGCAGGCCUAACACAUGCAAGUCGAGCGGUAGCACAGGGAGCUUGCUCCUGGGUGACGAGCGGCGGACGGGUGAGUAAUGUCUGGGAAACUGCCUGAUGGAGGGGGAUAACUACUGGAAACGGUAGCUAAUACCGCAUAACGUCUUCGGACCAAAGAGGGGGACCUUCGGGCCUCUUGCCAUCAGAUGUGCCCAGAUGGGAUUAGCUAGUAGGUGAGGUAAUGGCUCACCUAGGCGACGAUCCCUAGCUGGUCUGAGAGGAUGACCAGCCACACUGGAACUGAGACACGGUCCAGACUCCUACGGGAGGCAGCAGUGGGGAAUAUUGCACAAUGGGCGCAAGCCUGAUGCAGCCAUGCCGCGUGUAUGAAGAAGGCCUUCGGGUUGUAAAGUACUUUCAGCGAGGAGGAAGGCAUUGUGGUUAAUAACCGCAGUGAUUGACGUUACUCGCAGAAGAAGCACCGGC